UGGGAUCUGAAAACAGAAAGAAGACAGUCCUGGGACUCUUAAGUGAUAAGGGAUGCAUGAGGGGCAAGUGCAUUCGUGGAGGGAGCAGUCCUGGGUGCAGUUCCUAGCCUGACUAGAUCCUGAAGACAGCCCUGGUGUUGUCCAGCUUGCCCAGCUUGUCCCAGCUAGCACUCAGCCUGUAAUACAGGACUGUCUAUCUGAGAUCACAUACAGGAGACCUAAUGCAUGGGAUGUGACAAUAAUACUGGUUGGCAAGAAAUUCCCAGCUAAACACUGUGCUGGCAUCCUGAAGUCCUGGUUAUCUGGGAGGCCAAGGAAGAAGGGUCAUGUGAUGGAGCUCAGUAGUUCAAGAUCAGCCUGGGCAACAGAGCAAACCCCCAGAUGGAAGGAUGGAUGGAUGGAUGGAUGGAUGGAUGGAUGGAUGGAUGGAUGGAUGGAUGGAUGGUGGGUGGGUGGACGGACAGAUGAACAGAUGGAUGGACAGAUGGGCAGGUAGAUGGACAGUAGGCAGGCAGGCUGACUUCCAAUGGCUCUUGCUACCAUUGCUGUCAGUUGAGUGGAGAUUGGGCUCAUAGGACCAAGGACACCUGUGGCCCCUCUGCUCUCCCGACACCCAGUACUGAGCCAAUUACUCUACUCCUGCCAAGGCUGCCCUGGUCACCAGGUGCAGCUCCUUAAACUCUUGUGUUCUGCAGCUGUUGCUCUGACCUCAGCUUCCCAGUAACCCCUGCCCGUUCUGUUUGGGUCCUCUAGCCUCUAAAACACAAGAAGAAUGAGAGAUCCCUCUAGAUCACCAGAGAUAAUGGUGAGGACCAGGCUAAGAAUCUCACACAGCCAUCAGGAUCUAAUGACAACAAAGGGCUUAAACAGCCAACACUUAGAGAGGGCUCCAGAGGCCUGUGUCUGUUUUAGCAAUGUAAAUCCAAGAUGUCACAAGCCCAGGUUCUAACACAUCCAGCUGAUUUGCAUUUUUAUACCAAAUCAGUUCUCCUAAUUAAAAUGGUUCAAUAUCCCUGAGUUCUCCGGCCCUCAUACAUUUGUAGGAAUUAUUUAUGCCACCUUCUGCCCCUACCCAAAUGAUCUCAUCACUCCUUCUAAAUCACUGUAUUCAAGUUCUUCAUUAUUUUGGCUGCUUUUUAGAAUUCAGCCCCAUUUUUCAACACUUUUCAGAGUGUUGCUUAACGACAGCACUAAAAAUUCUUGACAUUUAUAGUACUUUCUACAUCUCACUACUAUAGUCUUUAGUGUUAAAAAAAAUCCUCCACUUUGCUGCUUUAAAUAUCCCUUUGGAUUAAAGCGUAUCACAGUUCGUGUCACAGAGAACCAGAAAAGCUGUUGAGAAUCUGUCUCCUACUACCUCUUAUCAGAAAUCGCUCACGUGCCCUGGCAGGGGUUUUAACAUUAAGUGCAGACAAGGUUGAGGUCCAAGGUCAGCCUUGGUGACAAUGUCACACCAGUCCUCAGGCACUUUGCUCUCCCAUGUGCCAUCAAAGCUCACUGAGGAAGUUGGCCUGGGUCCAACUGGAGAUCAGUAGACUCGGACCAGAGUCUAUGCUGUGCUGGCUGUCCCGCCCUCUGUGGCUCCUCCCCACAUUUCCAUUUACCCACAUCUUACUAAGCUUCAGAGGCACUGGGGUUAUAGCUCAGAGUACAGAUUCUGUCACCUACUGGAUGGGCUACACCAGUCAAGUGGCUUCUCUGUGCUCUCAAUUCCUCUGUCUGUCAGUAGCUCAUGACAUUGCUAUAAUGAUCAAAUGAGUCACUAGGUAUCAAAUACAUGGACCACUAGACUGCAUGUGGCGCAAUUUAGCUGCCACUGACUUCACUAAGUCCCUCCUUGCCCUGGUCCCUGCCCCACUCACUGGAGGCUGGCACGGGGUUUGAGCCAAGCACUGCACUUUCGCUUGUGCUGUACCUCAGUCUCCUCAAGGGCCAAGCCCCUGAGAAUGUGUAGCCUCCGGCCAGCCUAUCCAGGGAGACUACUGCACUUCGCAGAAAGCGUGACUGGGGAAGUGGCCCACUCCUCCACACUCUGCUUCUCCUUGGAGCGCUUCUCAUCCUAACUUCCAGCUUCCUGUUUCAACCCCGCCUCUUCUCUAAACCAUGGGUUCUGUGGGCAUUUUCCCCGCCUCUUCUCUGAACCAUGGGUUCUGUGGGCAUUUUCCCCGCCUCUUCUCUGAACCAUGGGUUCUGUGGGUAUUUUGAAUCUAGCAUGACUUGUGAAUUAGAAACGUCACUGCUAAGAUUUGUCUGCCCAGCUGGAAUCCACAAAUCUUUGUUCAUGAAGCAGAAGAGCAGCGAAGGAUCUGAAGACGGAGAGGGACAUCUUCCAGACAGCUCCAGCAGCCCCUGGGGUAGGCCCGAGCUGGCUUACCACCAGGACAUGGCCUUUGACUAUGACACCAGAAGCAGAUUCGAGUGACUGCCCUGACCUGACUCACCAGAGCACUGGUCGUUUUAACUGGCCACGAGGAGGCUGGCUUUUCUGAAGGGACACCAGGAAGUGAAGAACACAGAAGCUGAAUGGUGGAGCAGCUCUGGCCGCAGGCACCUGAGUUAUAAAAAGUCC
This is a non-coding RNA of Rattus norvegicus (Norway rat), 2569 nucleotides long. Lineage: Eukaryota; Metazoa; Chordata; Mammalia; Rodentia; Muridae. The record is from RefSeq and is a predicted model, not a curated record.